AAGGAAUGUACAAUGCUCAACGUUCCAAUUCAUAAAAACACAGGGAAUAUGCAGGGAGAAAUUAAUUUCUAGGUCUGAAAGAUGUGCAAUUGUUGCUCGAUACUAAGUCAAUCAGUGCCAGAGAUGUAAUGGUUACAAGAGUUCCUUCCCCACCCGAGUCCUCUUCGGAGUGUCUCCGCCCGGACGCAUGCGCGCACGAACACUAGAGGGCGCUAGCACUGCAGCGCCAACGUUUAGCCGGCAGACAAAGGAACGCCGCCGACUGCCCCUCCUGUUGCCAUAAAAGGCAAUGCUUGUACCACUAGAAGAAAGCAGUGGAUAAGAUCCAACACAACCUGCUGCCACUCCCUAAACGGAACAAAGUCCUCGCACCACGGAGUACGCUGCCGAUACUCAACGCCAACUCUCCCAAGUUAGAGAGAGAUGAUGCCGGAGAGCUAGAAGAUUCCACGCCACCCCGCCCCCGCCUGGCCCGCUGAGGAAUGGUACCUGCUCUCGAGGUUUCACGACUGGUCACUAUUCGAUAUGCCAAGGACGCGGCCUAGAAGACUAGCAUGCCUUCAGGAUGCUGGAUUUUCAUGGCUCUGGAGGCAGGCGGACUCGAGGACGGUGCUGCCACCUGGUGCAUUGUGGGAGACAGAAGAUCGAAAGCAGCAAAGCUCUGUGCCCGAAGACCCGAGUUCUUUGGGCACAGAGCUCGGCAGAAGUGAUGCAACAGACUUUUAACACCAUAAACCAGAGUUAUCAAAAACACCUACUGCUCCAUUCUUCACCUGCACUUUGGUAAAUCUGACCACCUCGCAGUGCUUCUACCAGCAUACAGACAGAGACCGAAGAACGUGGCAGGAGCACCUGUGUAAAAGACUAUGAUGGACUGUACGGCAGAAGUGGGGGAGUGAAUUCAGGAUUGCUUUGAGUCGGUGGGCUAGAACAUGAUCAAGGAUUCAAAUCAGCAGACGUAAAGAAAUACGCUGCAAUCAUCAUGACUUCAUAAGGACACGUGUAGAUGCGUGUCAUAAGACCAUCUUGAGUCUUCCCCAGCCAAGAGAUUCAUUUGUGAAUCCAGCUGAGGGAUAGAUCUGUGGCAUUUAGGGCUGGCAACUCAAAUUUAUAUUGGAAGCCAGGUACGACCUCCAGAAGGUCAUUGUGAAUGCAAAGAGGCCAUUUCAGACUAAACUGGAAUUAUAGAUGGACACUGUUCAGCCAUGCCAGGGUUUGCAUAAUAUAAAUUCAUACAAGGCAAAAUUGGAUAGCACAAGUAACAUUGAACCAUCCUUCUGAAUAUGCUCAAUGCCUUUUAUGCAUGUUUUGAUCGAGAAAACUAUGACACACCCAGAUAAAACCACAACAAGACCAGAUGACCCUGUAAUUUCAGUCUCUGAGGCUAACAUCCGGGCAACCUUUAGGAGGGUAAAUCCAUGAAAGGCAUCUGAUCCGGAUGGCUUCAUACUUCAUCCCCCCCCCCCCCGCCAUACAAUCUCACCUAUCACCGCCAGCUUGUAUUCCUUCCCCUCCCCCACUUUCUUAUUCUGGCUUCUGCCCCCUUCCUUUCCAGUCCUGAUGAAAAGUCUCAGCCUGAAAUGUUGACUUUUAUUCUCCACCUUAGAUGCUGCCUGACCUGCUGUGUUCCUCCAGCAUUUAUGUAUUUUGCUCAAGAUUUCCCGCAUCUGCAGAAUCUCUUAUGUUUAUGUGAUUACCAUGUUUGUAAUUUUGUCUGAUAACUAAAUAUUGGAGGGGACACCAAGAUUAACUCACAUACAGAUUAUUGCCCUGGGUUUUUUUCCGACCACCUAAUGCCCUGAGUUUAAUAUUUAUCCAAUUGAUGGUAACUUCACCAGUGCAGUUCUACACCCUGUACUCUCAUGACUAUGUGUCCAGAUUUUCCUCUAACUCCAUCAAAGGCCCCACCCACUCUGGAUAUUUUCUCUUCUCUCCUCUUCGAGCUUGAAAGCGUGCACCUUCAGGCUUAAGGACAGCUUCUACCAUGCUGUUUUAAGACUAUUAAAUGGUUUCCUAGUACUAUAACAAGGGCUGUUGGCCACACAAUCUACCUCGUGAAGAGCUUGUGAGCCAUAUCUCAAAUAAUAAUGAGUCAGAGUACAGGAAGGAGUUAGAGAGCUUAGUAACAGAGUGUCAUGGCAACAACCUUUCCCUCGAUGUCAGCUAAACAGUAACUGGUCAUUGCCUUCUAGAAAGGGACCUGAGCACAUGUUCCUGUCCAAAUCAAUAGUGCCGGGGUUGGGAGGGUUGAAAGCUUCAGGUUCCAAUGAGUGAAUAGCCUUUCCUGGUCAAACCAUGUAGACACACUGGCCAAGAAAGCUCACAUUCCUUCUACUUUUGGCAUGUCCCCAUGGACCCUUACCAAUUUUUAUUGAUGCACCAUAGAAAGCCUUCUAUCGGAAUACAUACCAGCUCGGUAUGGUAACUGCUCUGUACGUGACUGCAAGAAACUGCAAAGGGAUGUGGACACAGCUCAACACAUCACGGAAACUAGCAUCCCCUCCAUGGAUUCUGCCUAUACUUCUUGCUGCCUGCAUAGUCAAAGACCCCAGCCACUCCAGCUAUAUUCUCUUCUCCCCAUUCCAUCGAGUAGAAGAUACAAACAUCUGAAAACAUGUACCAUCAAGCUCAAGGACAACUUCUACUCCGUUGUUAUGAGAUUAUUAAAUAGUUCCCUAGUACGAUAAGAUGGAUUCUUGACCUUGCAAUCUAUGUUAUUAAGAGCUUUCACUUUACUGUAUAGCUGCACUGCGUUUUCUCUGUAGCUGUUACACUUUAUUCUGCAUUGUUAUUGUUUAACCCUGUUCUAUCUCAGUGCCCUGUAUAAUGAUUUGUUCUGUGCAAACAGUACGCAAGUGAAGCUUUCACUGUAUUUCAGUACGUGACAAUAAACCAUUUCCAAUUCCAGCUCCCUCAUUACUGUAUUAGAGUAUCAGCCUGAAAUAUUUGAAGAGAA
Molecule: long non-coding RNA, 2956 nt
Organism: Mobula hypostoma (lesser devil ray)
Lineage: Eukaryota; Metazoa; Chordata; Chondrichthyes; Myliobatiformes; Myliobatidae
Exons: 3
Source: RefSeq, a predicted model, not a curated record